AAGAAAGCAUACAAGAGCUGCUAACUCAAAUCCCCGCAUUUAAACAUGCGGCUUUCUUA
Molecule: transfer RNA, 59 nt
Filed under: Ellobius talpinus (Northern mole vole)
Lineage: Eukaryota; Metazoa; Chordata; Mammalia; Rodentia; Cricetidae
Description: tRNA-Ser
Source: RNAcentral